GGGUCAAAUCGGAACUGCAGCUGCUGAACCUACACCACAGCUCACAGCAAUGCCAGAUCCUUAACCCAAUGAGCAAGGCCAGGGAUCAAACCUGUGUCCUCAUCGAUGCUAGUCAGAUUCGUUUCUGCUGAGCCACAUUGGGAACUCCCUACAUUUUUUUUUUUUUAAUAUCACAAGAAUAAAUUCCAGUAAAAUAAAAUAAAAUAAAAAAAAAAGUUAAAGGAGACACUGUGAAAAAUGCCUUAUUAUUGAAAUUAAAUUACAUUUAAGUUUUUAAAAGAGAUACAUUUCCUUACUUAACAGUCCAUCACUGUACCAUUAUGUCACUAAUAAUAUUUACAUAGCCAUGAAACUGACUUGUAAAUAAAUAUGAGGGGAAUCAUAUCUUUUAAAAAUAUUUUUUUAAUUUUUAAAAUUUAAAAAUUUUUUAAAUGCCAAUUUGCCACAUAUGAAUUUCAUUCAUUAAUUGGGUGCUAAGUCUUAUGAAUUUUCUAUCUAGAAACUAUCAUACUAAGUAAAGUUAGACAGCGAAAGACAAACAUCAUACAAUAUCACCUAUAUGUGAAAUCUUUAAACUAAAAAAAAAAAGGAUACAAAUGAACUUAUUUGCAUGACAGAAACAGACUCACAGCUUUGAAAAACACUGUUACCAGAGGGGCCAGGUGGGGAGGUUGGAGGGAUGGACUGGGGGUUUGGGAUUUGGUAUAUCCACGCUGAGGUAAAUGGAAUAAUUGGCCCAAGAGGACCUCCUGUACAGCACAGAGAACUCUACCCAGUAUUCUGUGAUAAUCUAUAUGGGAAAAGAAUCAGAGUGAAUGGUAUGGGUAUAUUUAUGACUGGGUCACUUUGUUGUACAGCAGAAAUUAUCACUGUCUUGUAAAUUAACUAGACUUCAGUAAAAUUAAAAAAAAAUAAAAUCUCUCUGUAUAUCAGGGUUCCCAUUUAUAGAAUAGUUUUUAGAGUAGAACCCCAUUUAUAGAGUACUAAAAUUAGAACCAUUCUCCCAGGAUCAGUUUGCAUAAAUUGAGAUAAUCUGUCUCCUAUACUUUGUAUUUAGCACAGUGUCUCUCACAAAAUAAACCAUAAUUGUUGCUUCUAUUAAAUAGUGUUCAAUAUUUUUCAAUAGAUAGAAUUUAUCUUUAGACAAAGCAACGUACACUAUUAAAAGAUAUAAUAUAGAUUACCAGUGUUAUAAACCUUAAUGAUUACAGAGCAAAAAUAAAUCAGAGGGUGAAGGGAAGUACAGCUAUGCUAUUUUCCUGGUAUUUGAGAAUAAGGAAGCAAUGAAUAACAUCAAUCAAUAAGUAUACCUAAAUGUUAGGUAUCAGAAAAUAAUUUAUAUCCUAUUUUAAGUUGUAAAGGUAACUAAAGAGAGCAACCAUGAAUUACAUAAUUAACAAAAAUUUGGAGGCCGAAGAUAAAAGUUGGGAGUUAACUGGGUGUGUGAUUUAUAUCUUUCAGUUUGCUCAUAUGACUAAGAAUAACAUGAUGUGAAUAUUUAUCAUGCAUUAUACACAGCUCUGAACCUUAUGCAUAUUAAUUUAAUGAAUCCUCACAACAUACUUACAAGGGAUGUACUAUUGUUAUUCCAUUUUAAAAUAACAGAAUGUAGACAUACAAAUCAGGCAUAUUUUUCAAGACCCAAAUCUGCUUCUAGAGGCUGUAUCCCUAUGUUCACUGCCACUAAGAAGAGAUAGCAGGAUAUGAAAUCUCAAAUUGCCAUAUUACAUUUUAAUUGUAUUCAUUAGAAUUAGGCUGGUAAUAAUCAAAUUAAACAAAACCAGACUUUAAGGAGUGGUGAGUUCUAGAGAACAGGCUAUCAUUUGGCAAUUACAGAGAGUAUGUUACAAUCUAUAUAACUUAUUUUUGUAAGGUUAAAUUUUUAUCUUUUAUGAUGGGAAUAUAUUACUUCUAUUAAAAGGAGACUAAACUUUGUGGAUAGUUUUUCAUUGUGGAAAUUGUGAAAAUGUACUUGCUGACACUCUGACUUUUAUCACUAUUCUAUAUUGCCAGUCAUAUUGAUAAUUUCUAAGCUUUCUGUUCUACUUUUCAUAUGCAUGACAAAUAUUUACAGAUGUUAAUUUUUCAUUUAACUUCAUAAGGACACAAAUUAUAAUCAUUUCAUAAUUUUAAAGGCAUUGAAAAUUUAGAGAUAGUAACACAGUGCUUUACAGUAAAUCUAUUGUUCAUAUAUAAUAUAAAUACUUCUCUAUCAGGAAGGAGUUAGUCAAAGGGAUCUUUGUAGGUUGGUUUAAAAACGAACAGCUAAGUCUUCCACAAAACCCCUUGAAAAAUGCCCAAAGCCAAGAUAAAUGAUAAUUCAACUCAACCAAGUGCCGGCCACGUGGACAUGAGGCUGUUGCGCCCACACUGAGUGAUGCCAAGGGCCAAUGCACCUCUUGCCUGAGAUCUACGGACGCAGUUACUACACGUGAACCCUGGCCCUGAGCAUGGCAGAGGACCAACAGCUUUUCUUUAACCAUGAGCCCAGUGCUGGGAAAUGGAUAGUGAAGCCAGGGUCCUGUCAACUCAUGCUGUGGUGGCCUCACUUACCGUACAACUAGACAGGGACCGGACGACCAAAAGUGUCUGACCGCCCAAUGGAACCAGGGCCUCACAGAGCCGCGACCCACGCUUGCUGGCGGUACCCCUACCUUGGCCGCGACUUCCCUGGUCCUGAGACCACUGCUGGAGCCCAUGUCCCCAAGUCCUCAGCAGGAAGAGCCCGAGGGCCAAGUGGGGACUGACUUCAACCACGAGGCCGCCAGCCAAAGGCCGCGCCACCAGGGAACCGGGGAGAACUGGCUUCAGUCUCCCCGGAGGAACCCUGAGACCAAGAAGGGCGGAAGUCUUACCACCUGGACCGCGAGGCUGAGGACCCAAACUUUCACCCGUUCAGAGUUGACGAGAGGCCCAGCUCCCAAAACGGGUCGCGGCCUCAGAACUCACCUGGGAGGUGACAUUCCUGUAGUGCACACGCAGUGGCGAACAAGCAGGGCCAGCAGGAGUCAGUGUACAUCCGGCGCAGCGGCACCUUGGAGCCCCGGCGGUAAGCGUGCUUGCCCGCCUCAGACUGGAAUGAGGACGGGGAUGUGAGCGCUUUCCAGACCCAGCUGUGGUUCUAGCACUGCCUGAGGGGUAUCCGGAGCCCUGUGGGGCUUCUUUCCUGAAGGGGUUGUCGCCCAGAGGGAAUGGUCUACACACCUCGGGUUGGACUCUCAUCUGAAAGACAGGCUUGAAAACUAACGCAGGGGGCUGAGCGGCAGCUGCCAGCCUGUGGUGCGCAUGCGCUACCUCUGGAGCACCACCCCCCGCCCCUCCCCCCAACGCCAUCUACGCACUUCUCCAACCCCCCACCCCUCCAUUUACCCCACCCCUAUUCGCAUGUGACGGCGGGGUUCCAGGAGCCUGGAUGUCCCUGUGCGGCCACAUCUGUGUGGUCUCAUCAAUCAUGGACCAGCUGCAGUGCAGCCAGAAAUACCUGAAUGCGUCAGAGGAAAGGAGGCAAAAGAAGACCCUGUUGCCAAAGAGCAGGUGUGAGGAGCUCCAAGCGAAGCAUCUGAAGGUGGACAAGGUCAUGGAUGGCUUUGAGGGGAGAGUGUACUGAGUGAUGGAGGAAGCUUAGAAACGGAAGGGACUUGACAAAACUCCAGAAAGUUCUGAAAGAAAAGAUCAACUUAUUGAAGAACAAUUUCAGGGAAAAAUCUUUCUUUGACCUCUUAAAGUGGCUUGAGAAACAGGAGGCCAGAGAUGGGAGACCUAGCCCUCCAGAGGAGUCUGAGGAAGGAGCAGGUGCGUCUACUCUGAGGAGAUGACUAAAGAACACGAACUGAUUAGAAUCUGUGAUGACCUCAUUUUCAAGGUGGAAAACAUCUGACAUUUAAAUCCCUCUUCAGGGCCUGCCCUCUUUGUCUGUCAAACUCUGUUACAAAGUUCUGUUACAUGAAAGUGUUCUGGUAUCUUACCCUCAAUUGUUUUUUAAACUAGAUUGCUUCAUAAAGUCUAAAUAAAAUUUCUUUCAGUUUACACACACACACACAAAGCAUGUUGCAAGACUCCCCCAGAUACCAGCUUUGGGGCCACCAAAUGUAAGGCCACCUGGGAAUCUGAACAUCCACCUACUAUUCUUCUGUCCAUGAGAUUUUCAACUAAACACUGCUCCAGCAAGUCUGGUAUAUGCACCAUCCUAUCACUUAACUCUUGGGAAUAAUGAUACAUUCACAUACAGGAAAAAAUAUUCAGAAUAGAAAACAUGAUUUGCAAAGAGACAUGAAAAUACACAACAAUCUAUUUGCAAAGUGGAACCCAUCAAGAGUAAAGGUGUUAACAACCUGGGUCUUCAAGCUCCUUAAUCAGUAGAAAUUGGUAAGGGGCCAGACAAGAAAUUCAGACAGGACUUUACUGAGACUCAUGCUACAACACAAGGGAGCAAAAACAAGAAACAGGUGGCCUUGCUCAUUUUCUGAGGAGGGCAGACUAGUUCUUUUUUAAAUGGGGUGAGGGUAGGGAUGGGGCGGUUUGGUGGGUCAGGCUGGAGCUAUGAUUUAGAAGCAAAACAAUAUAAUUUAUUAUGUAUAAUCUAAAUUAGUCACUGAUGUAAAUUUAUAUAAAUGUCAUAUAUUGGAUA
RNAcentral lists this long non-coding RNA (4627 nucleotides) under Sus scrofa (pig). RNAcentral's name for it is "lncRNA (ENSSSCG00035038356.1)". The record is from RNAcentral. Lineage: Eukaryota; Metazoa; Chordata; Mammalia; Artiodactyla; Suidae.